GACGAACGCUGGCGGCGUGCUUAACACAUGCAAGUCGAACGGUGAAGCUCCAGCUUGCUGGAGUGGAUCAGUGGCGAACGGGUGAGUAACACGUGAGCAACCUGCCCCUGACUCUGGAAUAAGCGCUGGAAACGGCGUCUAAUACUGGAUACGAGAAGGGUCCGCAUGGGCACUUUCUGGAAAGUUUUUCGGUUGGGGAUGGGCUCGCGGCCUAUCAGCUUGUUGGUGAGGUAAUGGCUCACCAAGGCGACGACGGGUAGCCGGCCUGAGAGGGCGACCGGCACCAGGGGGACAGAGACACGGCCAAGCCUCCUCGGGGGGGCGGCGGGGGGAAAUAUGGAAAAGGGGGCAAAAGCCGGAGCCAGCGCCGCGGCGGGAGGGAUGAGGGCCUUGGGUUUGUACCCCUUUUGCAGAGGGGAAAAAGAGAAAGGGAGGUACCCUGAAAAAGAACCCCCGACAAACUCCGCC
This 468-nucleotide ribosomal RNA is filed under the name uncultured bacterium. Its description in RNAcentral is "partial 16S ribosomal RNA". It matches the Rfam family "Bacterial small subunit ribosomal RNA", at positions 28 to 507 of the family's 1533-position model. The record is from RNAcentral.